RNAcentral lists this unclassified non-coding RNA (353 nucleotides) under soil metagenome. RNAcentral describes it as "partial contains 5.8S ribosomal RNA, internal transcribed spacer 2, and large subunit ribosomal RNA". The stretch from base 1 to 120 matches the Rfam family "5.8S ribosomal RNA", at positions 35 to 154 of the family's 154-position model. The record is from RNAcentral.
GAUGAAGAACGCAGCGAAAUGCGAUAAGUAAUGUGAAUUGCAGAAUUCAGUGAAUCAUCGAAUCUUUGAACGCACAUUGCGCCCGCCAGUAUUCUGGCGGGCAUGCCUGUUCGAGCGUCAUUACAACCCUCAGGCCCCCGGGCCUGGCGUUGGGGAUCGGCGGAAGCCCCCUGCGGGCACAACGCCGUCCCCCAAAUACAGUGGCGGUCCCGCCGCAGCUUCCAUUGCGUAGUAGCUAACACCUCGCAACUGGAGAGCGGCGCGGCCACGCCGUAAAACACCCAACUUCUGAUUGUUGACCUCGAAUCAGGUAGGAAUGCCCGCUGAACUUAAGCAUAUCAAUAAGCGGAGGA